GUCCUUUUGAGUGUAUAUAAGGUCUGACCUGCCCAGUGAUUUAUUUUAACGGCCGCGGUAUAUUGACCGUGCAAAGGUAGCAUAAUCAUUAGUCUUUUAAAAGAGGGCUGGAAUGAAAGGUUUGACGAGGUAUUAACUGUCUCAUUUUAUUUGGAUUUAGAAUUUAACUUUUUAGUCAAAAGGCUUAAAUUUAAUUGGAAGACGAGAAGACCCUAUAGAGCUUUAUAUUAAUUAUUUUAGUUAUAAAUAUAUAAUUUUUAAUUAAAUGAAUUAUUAUUUUGUUGGGGUGACAAAAAAAUAGAACUAACUUUUUUAUUUAUUUAACAUUAAUUUAUGGUUAUUUGAUCCAUUAUUAUUGAUUAUUAGAUUAAGUUACCUUAGGGAUAACAGCGUAAUCCUCUCCCAGAGUUCAUAUUUACGAGUGGGGCUUGCGACCUCGAUGUUGGAUUAAGAUAAUAAUUAGGUGUAGCCGCUUAAUUUAUAGGUCUGUUCGACCUUUAAAUUCUU
Molecule: ribosomal RNA, 507 nt
Filed under: Somatochlora exuberata
Lineage: Eukaryota; Metazoa; Arthropoda; Insecta; Odonata; Corduliidae
Description: partial 16S rRNA
Rfam family: Bacterial large subunit ribosomal RNA
Source: RNAcentral